CCCGCUGUUGCCAUGGCGACAGCGCCCGAGCGCGGCCUAGGCCCGGCCCCGAACCCUGAGGCCUGGCCCGGGGGCGAGCAGCGGGCACCGGGCACCGGGAACGACCCUGAGGGGGGCUGGGGGGAGCCCCGCGGGGUCAGGCGGAGCCGCAGGGCCCGGUCUCGGUGCUGGGGGCACGAGUGUCCCGUGUGGAAGCGGGGAUGGAGCCAAGAGGCCUGGUCCCGGGGGGGCUGAGGGGAGCGGGGCGCAGCAAGCGGCAGGAGGCCGAAGCAGAGAGGGGAGCUGCGGCCCGCGAGCUGAGCCUGCCACCGAUCCCCAGCGAGGACAAGAGGAGAGGGGAGAAGAAGAAGCCAGUUACAUUUAUGUCGAGUAAAAAAACACCCCUGCCUUCAAAGAAACCGGUGUCCCAAGAGAAAUACAGAAGUUUUACCGAGAAGAAGUCAGCGCUCAAGGAGGCUGAAAUAGCUGAGGCGUUGGAAGAGAUCAAAAUCACCACGGAUCUGACCCAGCAGAAGAUAAAUGCCAUAGAGGAGCUGAAGCAGCGCAGCGCCCGCCUGGAAGAGGCCAACUGCCGGCUGAUGAAGGACAUCCAGCACACCGAUGCCAGCACUGCCAAGCGAGCCAGAGACCUGCUGCAGCAGUACGAACAGUUUCAGAUGGUCAAGGCAACGGCGCAGACCGCCAGUCAGAAGAGACUGGACACAGCGAGGGCAGAGCUGCAGGAAAUGGAAAAAACAAUGGAAAAGAAUCUGGGAGAGCUACAGCAGCAGUUGGAUGAAGCCACAUCCAACGUACAGGUUCUCCAGGAUGAGCUCAGCGUCCUGCGGACCUACACGGACGUGCAUUAUCCCAAACAGGCUCUCCAGAUUGUCCUCCUUCUCUCCGACAUCCAGAACCUGAAGAAGCAGCAGCAGGAUGAGAUAGACAAGACAGAAGAAAUGGGGAAGGCCGUCCUGGAGGAACUGGAAGAGAAAACACGGCAAGAACAAGAGGAGCUGCUGCAGCAAGUCGUGGAGGAGGUGUUGCUGCACCAGGAUGGCCUGAAGCAGCUGGUGAUAAACAACCACGUGCUGCGACGCGAGAUAAGAAGGCAAAGAGAGAUUAUUAAGGACCUGGAAGAGGAGAUCAGCGAGCUGCAAAGCAGCAUCCAGACGCUCCGCCAGCGUGCGAGAGACCCGAGAGAGGUGAUCUUUGCUGAUGUUUUCCUCCGCAGACCCAAAUCUCACCGACAAACCUACACGUCCUGGGACAGAAACUCGCAGCUUGCUGGCAAACCCGGUCACCUCACAGCUCUCUUUUGGGUUUCCUUUUGUCCGUCCUGUAAAUGGGGGUAAUUACCAGCUGCAGGAAGAGGCAGAGCUUUUCAAGGCCCUUGUGACUACGAUGAGUCUUCCUUUAUUGUUCUUUUCCCUCUCUGGCUGGGAAGCCAAACUGAGGGGAGGUGGCCAGGCUCCUGUGGAGCAUCCUUGUCCGGGCAGGUCCUACCCAUCUCAAGCUGCUUUGCUGCUGGUGUGAAACAGCACAAAGGAGAACAAAGGCGGGCAGCCAGUCCCCUAAUAUGUAAAAAAAAAACCAUCUCAGAGGAACGGGUUGGCAGCAAAAAGGCAAAACUUUCUCUUUCUCCCACUCUUUCCCUGCCCAAGCUCAUCGGGAGCUAACGACCCCCGGAGCAGAGGUUGCGGUGAGUCCCCGCUCCCACUUCCCAUCGUUGUGCAGUGCGAGGAGAAUCCUCAGCGCGCAUCGAGGGGGAGAAGGCCCUGCCAGCUCGCUCACGGGGACGCUGGGCUCUCCUCUCCAGGGACAGGGGACACACUGGCCAAGUCCGUAGGCUGAGGCAUACCAGCAGCCCGCUGUGACGAGUUAUUUUCCACCAUACCCCCGGCGGGGAGCCCGCCCCACCGAGCAGCAGGCCCCUGGCAGAGGGCUCCUGCCCAGAACUCAAAUGCUUUGGAGCUGUCAGGUGCCUCCUCUUCCUGUGCUGACCAGGGGAACAAACCUACAUAAAAUUGACCAAAUAUGCUUAAAUCUUGAGUGCGGUGUAGCCCGAAACCCACAGUUUUGUGCAGAACUGGGUGCAUGUGCACCUUUAUUUGCUGCAGCUGCCUGUACACAAGUUAUAGACGGGCCACAGAUGCUCACCCAGCAAAUCGCUGGUGGUGCAAACAGCAGAAGGGGCUGGAAUUGUUAACGGCCAGCCAGGUAGGGCUGCGGAGCUGCAGAGGCGUGAUGCGGAGCAGGAGGAAAGCCUGCAACGUGUCAGGAGCCCGUGGGGGAGGCGAGCGGCUGCGUGAUGGAUUAGCGAGACUUAAUUUUAUUUUUUUUUUUUCCGAUAAAAGAAUGAUAAAAAGGGGAAUUAAUUAGCCUCGACAGCUGGUGGGGCUGGGGUUACUGAGGGCGGCUGGGAGAAGAGUUAAAAAUAGCAGGAAGGCCCAAGUGGAAAGUUUCUGUAACAUCACAAGUCAGGCAUUUGGUGCUUACCCGCCCUGACAGGCAGGAGGCUGUGCCAGAGCCCUCGCCGCCAUCUCCCCGCCGAUUCCCACUGACCUCCCUGCAACUUUUCACACGGCUUCAGCAGCCGUUCGUUUUUCCAGUUAACCCUCUGCUUCCAGACGCUGCUUUGGCUUCCUGAAAGCAGGACCAGGCAUCGCCUGUGCUCGGCUUGGAAGUAGGAGGGCACGCAGGAGCGUGGAAUUGUUGCUGGCCCUCCUCGGGCUCCCCGUGCGCUGCACCUGCGAAGCACGGAGGAGCUGCGAGGCCCCCGCACACCCACGUGUGUCUGCGUUUGUGUUCUCCCUCUUUAAAACUCCUUUUUUAAGCCCCCCCGGGUGGAUUUCACCUCCGAGCCCUGCAUUGGACGCACAGUUUGUCCUGGGCUGACGCAGGCUGCCGAGCGCACCUCUGAGCGAGCCCAGCUUGCUGUGUUUGUCCUUUCUGUGCGAGAAAGCAGAUGUGCCUGGCUGCCUGAUGGGCUUUCUCAGCUUCUGUUUGUCGUUCAGGACUGACAACGAGGGGCAGCUAAUUCCGUUCCUUCUCCGAGUCCCAAGGGUGCACACCAGACACCGAGGUGAUCCUCAGCAUCCCCACGGAGGAGGCAACGCUCCCCUGACACCCGCAGGCCCCUCAGGAGCGGUGCUGAGCUGACAAAACCUUCCCCAGCAGCACUUCUUCAUCCCAGCACCACUCAGUGAGGACUCCUGACUACAAGGAGCAGGAAAGGAGCUGCAUCAUUCCCGACCUCGUGCCUGUGACCAUCGCGCUGCAGCCGUUUGGAAGGUGCAAACCCUGCGGUGACGGCUGCCCAGGGACCCUCCCCGGCCCUCCUCACCCCCCAGCACCAUCGCUGCCCCCCAGUGCCAUGGGGGCAGCACCAAAGGGGCCUCUCCAUCGCGGUGCCGUGACCUGGGAGGGGUGUCCUGGGGUGCCCCAGGGUGGGCACGUCCCGGUGCAGGGCUGGGGACCCAGCACGGAGCCAUCCCGGAGCCUGUGUGGGUGCCAGGGCCAAACUCAGGUUCAAAUAAAAACAGCCCCCGUGCUGCCCCGUUCGAAACA
Molecule: non-coding RNA, 3549 nt
Organism: Anas platyrhynchos (mallard)
Lineage: Eukaryota; Metazoa; Chordata; Aves; Anseriformes; Anatidae
Source: RefSeq, a predicted model, not a curated record